GGCAGGGAUGAGUCGACGUUGGCGACUUCUGGCCCGACGGGACGCGACCACAUGGUGGCGGUCGCAGCAGGCUGGCAGAAGCGCAUCGAUGUAGCCGACCUCUGAGGACAGCGUGGCAGAGAGGGCAAGGGUUCAGAUGUGGAGCUCGGAGAUGGCUGCACAACAGCAGAGUGGCAUUUUCAAGGUAUCUAUCAACGUACAUCCAACGCCGGGGUUCCUCAGUUGCAGCAAAAGAGACACAAUGAUAUCAGAAAGGAAUAGAGGGAGCCAUCUCUCAUGUUCGCUGGCAAGAAAACUGUUUCAUCAUUAGAAUAGGGGUGGAUCUUGGAAAAUAUGUAAGGCAACUAUCCAUGGUACACACCAGAUGUGAACGUGGAGAGGGUGGAGGACGUGGUGAAGCACCAGCAGCUGCUUGAGGAUGCAUGAGACCUGCAACACCUGCCCGCCUUGGCAGUGGGUGUCAUCCAGAUUGCAGAGAUAUUAUCCAAGCUAGAAAGAAAGGGUGGAGGAUAAAUUGUUAUGGUUGCAAAAUAAGAAGAUUUACAAUGUGUUGCAGCAACAUUAGGUGGAACUAUUCAGCUUCAGCUUCAGGUAUAGUUCGUUAAAGAGGACAUCACCUCCUCUUCCAGCUCUAGACACCAAUAUUUGGCAUGAUGCAAGGAUGGCCUCUACGCUUGACGACCUACCGCUUUCUAGGUUGAGUUAUUCCUUUUUUUCUUGUUCGGCUAAAUUAGAUUUAUGCAUAUCUGUGAUGUCGAUGGCUAUUGUCGAUUUUCCUCUUUCUCUCUCAUGUUGUUCUCUCUUCUGCUUAUGAAUGAAGGGAAAAUCAAUUGAGUUUGAGAAAGGAAACAAAUAGCUCGUCUAGAGAAAGGAUGCUCUCAUAGAUUGUUAAUUAACCUGUUUGUGGAUAAUGGCCUAUUGGUAUCUUUGUUUGGUGUCUGUGGGAUAUGGCAAGAGGUGAUGGCCUCAUGGAUCAUUGAUUGUACUUGAUGAUUGGGUAUUCCUUCCCCGUAUACAUUUGUAGUGAAGAAACAUUUUUUCUGUUUAUAAUAAUUAUACAUAUCGUGCAUUGAAUUUUACUCUGUGUUAUCGUUUAAUUUUUAUUGUGCAGAAGAUUUCAGUAGAGAAUUGCUCUUCCGUGCCUGCAACAUCCUAAGAGACAUGUGGUUAGAACAUGGCAGCGCAUAUCAUCUCCGGGAUUAGAGCAGUCAUCCAAUGUAUCCGGGAUCCUAACAAUUCAGAUCCAGUUGUAACUUGUAAGGCACAAAAAACCAUUUAAAUGCUGGCACUACAUCCUUGCAUGCCGAGGGAGCAGAGGAUCACUGAAUGGAAGUAAAAGGGCAAAAUGGGAGUGCGGUUGGCAAGUUACAUCCUUGUUUUGUUAUAUGUAUCGACGAUAUACUGUAUCAAGUCUUAGCAUGUCAGAUACAAACUUUCUUAUUAUCAUUAUAUUUGUCGCAACUUGUCAACUUGCAUAUGAGCAGUGUUUUUUUUUGUAUCACACAACUUUUUUCUCUGAAUAAUCUGUCAUCUACCUCACAUUUGGCUA
Lolium rigidum is the source of this 1549-nucleotide long non-coding RNA. RefSeq lists it as uncharacterized. The transcript has 9 exons. The record is from RefSeq and is a predicted model, not a curated record. Lineage: Eukaryota; Viridiplantae; Streptophyta; Magnoliopsida; Poales; Poaceae.